GUGAGGGCUGGAAAAAACAUUGACAUUGAGCGUGGAGGAUUUAAGGGAGCGGGUGGCUGCGGACUACGUCAGCGCACUGCAGCCCCCGAGGUUUGUUUACUUAUUGUCCCAUGGAUGUAAUAUACGAACUACCCGAGGACAACAGUAGCGAUAAGGGAUCAAUAGACUUACAGCUGAACGAUUCCGCCUCUGCUCACUCCACUUCCAGUGAGGCUAAGGCAACCGGUGGGGGUACAAUGGACAGGCUGAAAUCCUGGUACGGCUCUCUCCGAGGGAAAAAGAGGGUUCCUGUUCAGUUAAAUGCGCGGGGUGAGUAUGAAACGGCGUCACUAGAUCGCGCCACCAGCAGGAAGGGGAAGAUCAGGCGCCACACAGUAGGGGGAUCAGGCAUCGCAGGGGACAUCAUGAGGGCCGAGGAAGAGGUGAAGUUAAAGCAGAGGGAUGCCCUAUUUGACCAUCUGGCCCAGAGGUACCCCCAACAUUCCAACACAAUACAGGGGUACCAUCAGAGAGUACCGGACCCUGCUAUGGAGGUUCGACCCUCAAGUGUUCAGAUGCAGAGAAGAAUGGUUGCUCAGGACCAACGCCAGCAUUACGGAUACGAAGAAGAGGAUGAUGGAAUUAUGUCUGAGGCAGAAACAGAGGCCACAGGAAAUUUUCGUCGAGGAGGAUUUGUCCGUUCCAGUCUCCCUAUGAGGUCCCCGCGUGGAGAAAGACCACCAGCCUUGGUAUUUUUGGUCUUCAACGGAGCCACAAAGCGAGCUCUCCUGCCUCCAGAGCUGGCUCACUUAGACACAAUCAAGGCUCUCUUUGCUCGCUCGUUUGGUGACCAACUCAACAUGAAGAUGUUAGAAAACCCCCGCAAGAAGAUCUUUGUCAUGGAUCCCAACAGCAACUACUAUCGCCCUCUAGAGGAUGUGAGAGAUAUCCGUGACCGUUGUGUUCUGAAGCUCCAUGACUUAGACAGUAAAGACACGCUUCAGACUAAGCCAGUUUACUAUGGCAACAGAAACUAUGAGGACCCUAGCUACUACUCUGAGCCAGAGUAUGACUCUGGAGUGUCUCACAUGCGCCGUCCACCCACCAAGUCACCCACGUAUCAUGGCUAUCCUCCACAACAGGUCCCUGGUCAAAGUCGCACACUACCACCACCUAGUGAGUACAUGUCACAUGACGAGAUUCAACGCAUGUUUCUACAGCAGCAGGUGGUGGCAGGCCGUCCUCCUGGGAGAGGCCCCACCCCCACAGGGCAGUGGGAGGGGCAGAGGGGAAGAACCACGCCCACGACUCAGCCAUAUGGACCUCCUCAAAGACCGCCCCCUUCACCAGGACCUCAUCAAGGCUACCCACCCCAACCCUCCAGACAGAUGGCAGCCCAGAGUUUACCCACCACCCCCAUCAUGCAGCGUGACCCCCGCACCAUGAAUUAUAACAAUGCGUACCAGAGCGGCACCAGGUCUGGGAAUGUGACCCCCACGCCUGGCAACGACCCUGGAACAAGAAUGCAGAUGGCCAAGAUGGAGGCACAGCUAGCCAACCUGACUGCCCUGGUCCAUAAUGUGGUCAGUAGACCAGGCAGUGCAGCCGGCAGUUUGACUGGGAGUCACAACAGUGGCAGUGCCUCUAGUAUAUCUGGUGGCUCCACCUCUACACCGCAGCCAGAGAUGAGUUCUGAGGUACAGGACUCCAUCAGAGGACUCCAGGCAAAGGCCAAGGAACUGAAGACAGAGUGUCGCAAUCUCAGACGGAUACAAGAGGCACAGGCUGAUAACAUACGGGAUACUAUAAGAGAAGCUUUUGAAAAAAUAAAGGAUGCCAUGACAGGAGUACCAGGGGCCUCUGGACACCCACUGAGAGCCAGACGGAGUAGAGCAGACGUCCAUUGUGACACAUUUAAACAGGACUGCAAGAGAGUGGAAAAUGAACUUGGUGAUCUAGAAUCAUCAGUUGAAGAACUUCGCAGUGAUGUCAUCAACAGACGGUGCAGGGUCAAUAUGGCUGACGUGGAAUCCAUGGCGCUGGCACUGAGUCAUAUUAGCAAAGCACUUGGAGAGUUGAAGGGUGGCUUCCCUGUGUUACAAGAGGAGCUGAAGACGGUAAUGACAGCAGAGAUGGAAGUGGUCGUUAAGGAAGAAAAAUAUUUGAAGGAUGAGCCAGAGAGACUGGAGAGUGCAUUAAAGAAGUGCAAAAAACUUACAGGAACUCUUUUUACUCUAAAAAGACUUGUCACUGAGCCGAGUCAAUCCCCGCCAAAGUCUAUCCUUAAAACCAGUAGCUCAUUUCGACGGCCCAAAACACUCGCGCCCAAUGGCGGAAAGGUUGGCUUCCGUACAGGAACACCGGACCCCAGUGGUGCCCCAGCUGAUGACAAUGACAGUUGGGGAAGACGAGAAGAAAGCUUUGUUUGAAAAUAUACAACACAUGAUUCCCAAUCACGAUGCCAGGAUGUUAAGUAUAGAGGCCUCUGAAAACUCGAGAGAAAGGAAGAAAAAGCUUGUCACAUCUCACGAAGUCCGAAAGUUUGAGAAGUCCCUGGAACUGGCCAGCAGGGCA
This 2553-nucleotide unclassified non-coding RNA is filed under the name Lingula anatina. Its description in RNAcentral is "coiled-coil domain-containing protein CG32809, transcript variant X2". Lineage: Eukaryota; Metazoa; Brachiopoda; Lingulata; Lingulida; Lingulidae. The record is from RNAcentral.